RNAcentral lists this unclassified non-coding RNA (335 nucleotides) under soil metagenome. Its description in RNAcentral is "partial contains 5.8S ribosomal RNA, internal transcribed spacer 2, and large subunit ribosomal RNA". The stretch from base 3 to 120 matches the Rfam family "5.8S ribosomal RNA", at positions 37 to 154 of the family's 154-position model. The record is from RNAcentral.
GCUGAAGAACGCAGCGAAAUGCGAUAAGUAAUGUGAAUUGCAGAAUUCAGUGAAUCAUCGAAUCUUUGAACGCACAUUGCGCCCGCCAGUAUUCUGGCGGGCAUGCCUGUUCGAGCGUCAUUUCAACCAUCAAGCCCCCGGCUUGUGUUGGGGACCUGCGGCUGCCGCAGGCCCUGAAAACCAGUGGCGGGCUCGCUAGUCACUCCGAGCGUAGUAAUACAUCUCGCUCAGGGCGUGCUGCGGGUUCCGGCCGUUAAAAAGCCUUAUUUACCCAAGGUUGACCUCGGAUCAGGUAGGAAGACCCGCUGAACUUAAGCAUAUCAAUAAGCGGAGGA